CCUUGUGUACUAGAAUCUAAUGCGUACUAGUUUGUGCCGAGCCGAGACUGAGAGGGACGAAACCCAAUUCUCAAAAACAGUCCCAUGAGCGAGAAUCAGCAGUCAAGCGUGGGUAAUUGCUGAUGUGCGGCUUGCAUUACAGCUGCAGAGGGUGAAACAAAAGUGGACAACAGAAUAGAGCCUAACUAACUACUGCAUUGGUGAUGGUGGAAGUGUGGUGGUCCUUGUUGGGGGCUGCUGUCCCAGCAGUUAUUGCGGGCCAAGCAAUUAUAGUCAUGAAAAAGAAACGCGCAGAAGAGCAGAGAAUGAAAAGCAUCAGAGGAAGGGAGAAGAGUUCUGAUGAUGUUUUCGUGUGUGAGAGAGUAUGUACAUCAAAGAGAAUGUUGAAAAAAGUGGGGGCUUUCUCAAAGGACCCGAUUCCUGAUAACUGUCUUACUGUCUGUGGUGUAUCUGAGCUUGAUGCAUGCUCUGAUGCUUGUGCUCGGACUGUCUGUGUAAACCAGCAUCAAGUGCCUGACUGGAAUGAUAUCUGCCUUCGAAGAUGCCAGAGUGAAUGCCUUAAACUCUCUGCUUCCCAUUAACCUUAGUAUAGUUCUUAUCCAUAUUUUCUGAAAUGAACAAUUAUGCAAAUUAUUGCAGUGUUUGAUUCUUAGUUUCAGUAGAAUGCUUUUUAUUUUUUGCCAUCCUCAGGUAUUUCCAUUCACUUUUGCUUUCAGAUAUUAUCCAUGUUCUUGAGUUGAGUUGCACCUUGAUGCACUUAUUAUGUUUUAUUUCUUGAAAAGAAACAAAAAAAAAAAAAAAA
Jatropha curcas is the source of this 802-nucleotide non-coding RNA. The record is from RefSeq and is a predicted model, not a curated record. Lineage: Eukaryota; Viridiplantae; Streptophyta; Magnoliopsida; Malpighiales; Euphorbiaceae.